This 281-nucleotide long non-coding RNA is filed under the name Mytilus galloprovincialis (Mediterranean mussel). Lineage: Eukaryota; Metazoa; Mollusca; Bivalvia; Mytilida; Mytilidae. The record is from RNAcentral.
GCGUCCGGCGUCCGUCGUCGUCCGUCGUCGUUAACUUUUACAAAAAUCUUCUCCUCUGAAACUACUGGGCCAAAUUUAACCAAACUUGACCACAAUCAUCAUUGGGGUAUCUAGUUUAAAAAAUAUGUGGCGUGACCCGGCCAACCAACCAAGAUGGCCGCCACGGCUAAAAAUAGAACAUAGGGGUAAAAUGCAGUUUUUGGCUUAUAACUCUGAAACCAAAGCAUUUAGAGCAAAUCUGACGGGAUAAAAUUGUUUAUCAGGUCAAGAUCUAUCUGCCC